CACUACAACACCAUCCUAAAAAAGAUCAAGAUCAUCAAUAAUCUUACAUACAUUGACGAACGUGCUCUACCGAUCAUGGCUGGAUCAGGAAUUACAAGAAGUGAAUCAAACGCAAACCUGAUUAGAUUUGUUAUUCCUUAUGCGAAAACCGUAACAUUCCAGACCUCAUUUUUUAUAAGAACUUGCAAAACGUGGAACAUAUUAAAUAGUAACUUGCGUACUAGAGAUAUAGGUUUGCUGUCUUUUAAAUCAGGUCUUAAAACUCUACUACAAACAUGCACUAUCCAAAACUUUCAAAUGUGUCGAUCCGCGCACCUGGAAAUCAGUGUGUGUAAAGUGCAAAAGAGCAAGAUCGC
This is a non-coding RNA of Paramuricea clavata, 356 nucleotides long. Lineage: Eukaryota; Metazoa; Cnidaria; Anthozoa; Malacalcyonacea; Plexauridae. The record is from the annotation of a GenBank genome assembly.